GCCGGGUAUGGUGGCUCAUGCCUGUAAUCCCAGCACUUUGGGAGGCUGAGGCAGGUGGAUCACUUGAGGUCAGGAGUUUGAGACCGGCCUGACCAACAUGGUGAAACCCUGUCUCUA
Molecule: unclassified non-coding RNA, 117 nt
Organism: Papio anubis (olive baboon)
Lineage: Eukaryota; Metazoa; Chordata; Mammalia; Primates; Cercopithecidae
Rfam family: Metazoan signal recognition particle RNA
About the family: The signal recognition particle (SRP) is a universally conserved ribonucleoprotein. It is involved in the co-translational targeting of proteins to membranes. The eukaryotic SRP consists of a 300-nucleotide 7S RNA and six proteins: SRPs 72, 68, 54, 19, 14, and 9.
Source: Ensembl